GAUGAACGCUGGCGGCGUGCCUAAUACAUGCAAGUCGAGCGAACAGACGAGGAGCUUGCUCCUCUGACGUUAGCGGCGGACGGGUGAGUAACACGUGGAUAACCUACCUAUAAGACUGGGAUAACUUCGGGAAACCGGAGCUAAUACCGGAUAAUAUAUUGAACCGCAUGGUUCAAUAGUGAAAGACGGUUUUGCUGUCACUUAUAGAUGGAUCCGCGCCGCAUUAGCUAGUUGGUAAGGUAACGGCUUACCAAGGCAACGAUGCGUAGCCGACCUGAGAGGGUGAUCGGCCACACUGGAACUGAGACACGGUCCAGACUCCUACGGGAGGCAGCAGUAGGGAAUCUUCCGAAAUGGGCGAAAGCCUGACGGAGCAACGCCGCGUGAGUGAUGAAGGUCUUCGGAUCGUAAAACUCUGUUAUUAGGGAAGAACAAAUGUGUAAGUAACUAUGCACGUCUUGACGGAACCUAAUCAGAAAGCCACGGCUAACUACGU
This 496-nucleotide ribosomal RNA is filed under the name uncultured bacterium. Its description in RNAcentral is "partial 16S ribosomal RNA". It matches the Rfam family "Bacterial small subunit ribosomal RNA", at positions 28 to 506 of the family's 1533-position model. The record is from RNAcentral.